RNAcentral lists this long non-coding RNA (766 nucleotides) under Gossypium barbadense (sea-island cotton). RNAcentral describes it as "long non-coding RNA (GBAR_LNC015244)". Lineage: Eukaryota; Viridiplantae; Streptophyta; Magnoliopsida; Malvales; Malvaceae. The record is from RNAcentral.
AAACAAUGGCUAUCACAUUACAUUACAAACAAAUUUUGGAAUUCCAGGCCUUUGCCCUGAAACUCUAAAACUGACCACCUUGAAAGGUUUGUCCAAACUGCCAAUUUGCAGGUGCCACGUUGUAGCUGCUCACAGUCCUCCCAUCACUUGUCGUCACUUGGAAAGACAGGCUUUGACCAUUGAGGUAGGAGUUGCUCUGCCAGUUUUGACCCCAGUUUCUCGACAUUGAUUGCCAUCCUGUCUUAGAGCCCUUGAUUGACACAGCAUGGACAUCCCCGGCACCUGCGACGUUCGUGAUGAGGACCAAGUUGAAGUAAGAGUGGCCGUUGAUGGUAAACCUGAUUCCUCCUUUCUUCAUACAGGGGACUCUGUUUAGACCAACACAAAUAUUUUGUUAAGAUGAAUGAAAUGAAAAGAAACAAAGCAUUUAUUCAUGGAUUUGGUCGAAAAGGGUGUUAAAGCUUACCUUCUGAAUGAAAUGGGAACAAUUCCAGCGCGGUAUUGAGCGAUUUGCAAGAAGGCGGGCUCGGCCAUGUCAAAGUGUUGGAGGGGAGGAUUGCACCACCCACCAUUGUCGUUGGACAAUGCAAAGUUGGGGGGGCAGAAGUUGGUUGCAGUCACUAUAAUGGAUCCGGGCAAGCACCAUUUAGGGUCAUUGUCACACUUCAUUUCAUAGCAAGAACCGCAGCUCAAUCCAUUGUUGAACAAGGCAGUGCUAAGUGCGACAGUGUUAGUCCCAUAGCCUUGGCUGUACAAAUUGCCAUAU